Molecule: long non-coding RNA, 1660 nt
Filed under: Homo sapiens (human)
Lineage: Eukaryota; Metazoa; Chordata; Mammalia; Primates; Hominidae
Description: HSALNT0206755
Source: RNAcentral
UUUAAUGGCUGCAUAGUAUUCCAUGGUGUAUAUGUGCCACACUUUCUUUAUCCAGUCUACCAUUGAUAGGCAUUUGGAUUGGUUCCAAGUCUUUGGUAUUGUGAAUAGUGCUGCAAUAAACAUAUGUGUGCACGUCUCUUUAUAGUAGAAUGAUUUGUAAUCCUUUGGGUAUAUACCCAGUGAUGGGACUGCUGGGUCAAAUGGUGGUUCUGGUUCUAGAUCCUUGAGAAACAUUUGCUAAGAGUGAUGGCUAGGGUCUAAGACAUAUACUCCCACUGGAUUCUCAGAGCAGUUAUGAGAGGAAGCCGGGCAUACGUUACACCCCAGUAAUAUGAGAUGAUGGUGACUUGUCGUAUUUUACCCAUUUGUUUACUCAGCAACUAUUUGUUAAACAUCAUGUGUCAAGCUGUGCUUAAAGAGCAAGGAAUAUAUAGAGAGAAACCAGACAGGCAAGAUACUUGUUCUCAUUUGAGUCACCAGGUCCAGGUCCACAGUGCCACAGAAAGGAGGCUGGCAAGUAUGUGGAGGCCUGAGAGGGCCUUGUUUUCCACAGUUAGAAGAGUGGGCUCCCUACUAAUUAAACAGGAGGAAAAGGCAUAAAGUAGUCAUAUUUGCAGUUCAGAAUGUCACUCCAGCAUCACUGGGGAGAAUGUACUGAGACUGGGAACAUUCUGAGGCCAGAGGCAAGGACAAAAGUGCAGGAGUAUUGGAUAAUUGUAAGCAAAUGUCUAGUGGAAAGAAUCUGUAAUAGGAUAUUCAGCAAUCCUUACAAGAAAUCUUUGCAAAAUAGUAAGGAGGCCAAGCGCAGUGUCUCAUGCCUGUAAUCCCAACUCUGGGAGGCUGAGGUUGGAGGAUUGUUUGAUCCCAGGAGUUUGAGACCAGACUUGGCAACAUGGCAAGGCCCCAUCUCUACUAAAAAUACAAAAAGUUCGCUGGACAUGGUAGCAUGCACCUGUAGUCCCAGCACUCAGAGAGGCUGAGGCAGGAGGAUCAUCUGAGCCUGGGAAGUUGAGGCUGCAGUGAGCUGUGGUGGUGUCACUGCACUCCAGCCUGAGCGACAGAAAAAAUAAUAAUAAUGAUAAUAUAAUUAAGGAAAAGGGGGGAAGGGAUGAAAGGGGUGGCAUAGACAAUUCUUGUUAAGUUAUUGAAUGUAGAUCUUGGAGGAAAGAAAAAAUUAGGGGGAGAUUCUGCUGAUGGAAUCCGCUGACUGGAAGGACACCUUCAGGAACAGCUCCGCUUCCACCCCACCCCCAUCUUCACAUGCACUUGAUCCAACCAGGGGCCCUUCCCCGGCUGGGUCUUUUAGCUUCCCACUCACUUUCCAGGAUUAGAAAGUUCAACCCAAGUGUCUUAGGUUUUGUAUCUGUCUCAGUGCAUUUUCCCUCCAUUCACUCUGGCUUGACCUCAAGGGGAGAAGAGGGAAAGGUCCUUCGUGCUGCAGUUCAACCUCCCUAAACCCCUGUGAGGCUUCCUACUCUUCAUACCCCAGAGCUUCCCCUGGAGGCUGAGGUGAGGGAGGCCGUGUGAAAAGGAAUGAAAGGGAACCUGAAAACAUAUUUCCACUUAGCUGAUGCUGGGCCUCCCUCUCUCAUUGGCCAAGGCCCCGAGUCAUGGCAGCCAUUCAAGGCUGGCUUCUACAUUGCGUGCAGUUGAGGGUCCU